Molecule: non-coding RNA, 80 nt
Organism: Gymnopilus junonius
Lineage: Eukaryota; Fungi; Basidiomycota; Agaricomycetes; Agaricales; Galerinaceae
Source: the annotation of a GenBank genome assembly
GGUUCAAUGGUCUAGUGGUUAUGAUUUCUGUCUUACAAGAGAUUCACAGAAGGUCUCCAGUUCGAUCCUGGAUUGAACCA